GGCGGCGUGCCUAAUACAUGCAAGUCGAACGCACUCUCGUUUAGAUUGAAGGAGCUUGCUCCUGAUUGAUAACAUUUGAGUGAGUGGCGGACGGGUGAGUAACACGUGGGUAACCUGCCCUAAAGUGGGGAUAACAUUUGGAAACAGAUGCUAAUACCGCAUAAAACCUAACACCGCAUGGUGUAGGGUUGAAAGAUGGUUUCGGCUAUCACUUUAGGAUGGACCCGCGGUGCAUUAGUUAGUUGGUGAGGUAAAGGCUCACCAAGACCGUGAUGCAUAGCCGACCUGAGAGGGUAAUCGGCCACACUGGGACUGAGACACGGCCCAGACUCCUACGGGAGGCAGCAGUAGGGAAUCUUCCACAAUGGACGAAAGUCUGAUGGAGCAACGCCGCGUGAGUGAAGAAGGUUUUCGGAUCGUAAAACUCUGUUGUUGGAGAAGAAUGUAUCUGAUAGUAACUGAUCAGGUAGUGACGGUAUCCAACCAGAAAGCCACGGCUAACUACGUG
RNAcentral lists this ribosomal RNA (508 nucleotides) under uncultured bacterium. RNAcentral's name for it is "bacterial SSU rRNA". It matches the Rfam family "Bacterial small subunit ribosomal RNA", at positions 38 to 507 of the family's 1533-position model. The record is from RNAcentral.